Molecule: ribosomal RNA, 253 nt
Filed under: uncultured Oscillospira sp.
Lineage: Bacteria; Bacillati; Bacillota; Clostridia; Eubacteriales; Oscillospiraceae
Description: partial 16S ribosomal RNA
Rfam family: Bacterial small subunit ribosomal RNA
Source: RNAcentral
UACGUAGGGAGCGAGCGUUGUCCGGAAUUACUGGGUGUAAAGGGAGCGUAGGCGGGACGGCAAGUCAGAUGUGAAAACCACGGGCUCAACCUGUGGCCUGCAUUUGAAACUGUAGUUCUUGAGUACUGGAGAGGCAGACGGAAUUCCUAGUGUAGCGGUGAAAUGCGUAGAUAUUAGGAGGAACACCAGUGGCGAAGGCGGUCUGCUGGACAGCAGCUGACGCUGAGGCGCGAAAGCGUGGGGAGCAAACAGG